This is a small nuclear RNA of Choloepus hoffmanni (Hoffmann's two-fingered sloth), 102 nucleotides long. NCBI's taxonomy places the organism in Eukaryota, Metazoa, Chordata, Mammalia, Pilosa, Megalonychidae. The record is from Ensembl.
GUGCUCACUUUGGCAACACGUAUACUAAAAUCGGAACCGAGAAGAUUAGCAUGGCCCCUGCACAAAGAUGACACACAAAUUCAUGAAGUGCUCCAUAUUAAA